This 400-nucleotide unclassified non-coding RNA is filed under the name Hevea brasiliensis (rubber tree). The record is from RNAcentral. Lineage: Eukaryota; Viridiplantae; Streptophyta; Magnoliopsida; Malpighiales; Euphorbiaceae.
AUUAGAUUGAAUGCCCAUAAUUUAGUCAAGACUUGGGAUAAAUAAUUUGAAGAUGUGCUUGUACUUAGGGGAGGAUUGUUAUGAAUUCAGCACCUGCAUUUGUUAUAAACUAUAAAGUCUGAUUAUAGCAAUAAUAGUGGUUCAUAAUGUUAUGGUUCAUCUUUGGCAUAGUUGAGUUCAUUUGUCUUGCAAUGGUAGAAGGAAGUGUAGGAUUACUUAAUUUGGUUAGAUCUUUCUGUGUUAUCAGUGCAAUGUUAAUUAAUAAUCCAUGAUGAUAAUUUUGCUCUUUCUUAUAUGCAAGGAGUAUACCUGUUGAGUUGUAAUAUUUCUGUUUAUUUGUUAAUGUGUUUGAGUUCAUUUUAUUUGAAUUCAUGAAUUCUAGCAGGGAGUCACUGGCGAA